Molecule: ribosomal RNA, 464 nt
Filed under: uncultured bacterium
Lineage: Bacteria
Description: bacterial SSU rRNA
Rfam family: Bacterial small subunit ribosomal RNA
Source: RNAcentral
CCAGACUCCUACGGGAGGCAGCAGUGAGGAAUAUUGGUCAAUGGACGGAAGUCUGAACCAGCCAUGCCGCGUGCAGGAAGACGGCUCUAUGAGUUGUAAACUGCUUUUGUACAAGGGUAAACCUGAAUACGUGUAUUCAGCUGAAAGUACUGUACGAAUAAGGAUCGGCUAACUCCGUGCCAGCAGCCGCGGUAAUACGGAGGAUCCAAGCGUUAUCCGGAUUUAUUGGGUUUAAAGGGUGCGUAGGCGGAUUGAUAAGUUAGAGGUGAAAUGUCCGAGCUUAACUCGGGAACUGCCUCUAAUACUGUUGAUCUAGAGAGUAGAUGCGGUAGGCGGAAUGUAUGGUGUAGCGGUGAAAUGCUUAGAGAUCAUACAGAACACCGAUUGCGAAGGCAGCUUACCAAUCUAUAUCUGACGUUGAGGCACGAAAGCGUGGGGAGCAAACAGGAUUAGAUACCCGAGUA